This 253-nucleotide ribosomal RNA is filed under the name uncultured bacterium. RNAcentral's name for it is "partial 16S ribosomal RNA". It matches the Rfam family "Bacterial small subunit ribosomal RNA", at positions 524 to 776 of the family's 1533-position model. The record is from RNAcentral.
UACGUAGGGUGCAAGCGUUGUCCGGAAUUAUUGGGCGUAAAGAGCUCGUAGGCGGUCAGUCGCGUCUGCUGUGAAAACUCGGGGCUUAACUCCGGGCCUGCAGUGGGUACGGGCUGACUAGAGUGCGGUAGGGGAGACUGGAAUUCCUGGUGUAGCGGUGAAAUGCGCAGAUAUCAGGAGGAACACCGGUGGCGAAGGCGGGUCUCUGGACAGUUCCUGACGCUGAGGCGCGAAGGCCAGGGGAGCAAACGGG